RNAcentral lists this long non-coding RNA (937 nucleotides) under Phasianus colchicus (ring-necked pheasant). RNAcentral describes it as "lncRNA (ENSPCLG00000021260.1)". The record is from RNAcentral. Lineage: Eukaryota; Metazoa; Chordata; Aves; Galliformes; Phasianidae.
CUCAUGUGCUGCCACUGACGGUGAGCGCUAUGUAGUAUUUGUUGUGACAUUCAGUAUGGAAAUUGAAACUGCACUUGGGUCUUAUUUGCUGGAUAUGGAAGACUGUGUUACAAUCCAGCCCAGGUUUAUGUGCAAGCAGAAGGGCUAAAUAAGACUGCAAAGCUUGAUGAGUUGGAACCACACAGUAAAAGUCAUGUAUUUGGAGCGAAAUACGUAAGGUUUUCUAGUACUGGGACCACAAAGCUGUGAGUGAUGUAACAGCGGAACCAUUCAGAUGUGUGCUGCUGCCAUAAGGUUGGAAGCAGUGCAAUGAGAGCUGCUCUACUUCCUGUGCUGUGUGUGUGGCACCAUUUUAGAGCAGCUUGAGGCAACAGGAAGGGAAAUAAAGAGGCUGUGUACUGGGAGACCAGUUGUGGUAGGCACAGAAAAGUUCAACAGGAAAGGAGGAGAAAAACAAUAAGGUAUCCUAAAGGCAACGUAUUCCCUGCAGGGAGGGGAGCAGUUGGAAAUGCGGGAAGUUUUCAUAUGUGCAGGCAUUAUGAAGAAUCAGUCUGUGGUAAUCAUCUCCUACCAGUGUAUUUUUAAAUUUUGAAAAUUCCUCAAUCUGUUUUUCUGAAAGUAACCCACCUAUGAUUCUACUGAGAAACUACGUGUAUACAAAAUGUACCUAACAUUUGUGGCUUGCAGUUAAACCAUACACGCGUGCUUCUAACAUAACCUGCAGCAAAUAAAAUUGCUUCUUCCUGUUUCAGUCUUCACCUCUUUCCUCUGCCUACUGUGCAGUGCAGCUUCUCUGUUUUUUCUGUUGCAGCUUUUUCCUUCUCGUAAUAAUCUGUGCCCUAUCUGUGCUAUACCUGUGGGAGUAUUCACUCCUUGCUUUCCUCUCGUGCUUCUGCACCUUACAAUGGGUUCCAAUUGUAUGAGAAUUCUUCCUUAG